RNAcentral lists this ribosomal RNA (253 nucleotides) under uncultured bacterium. RNAcentral's name for it is "partial 16S ribosomal RNA". It matches the Rfam family "Bacterial small subunit ribosomal RNA", at positions 524 to 776 of the family's 1533-position model. The record is from RNAcentral.
UACGGGGGGGGCAAGCGUUGUUCGGAAUUACUGGGCGUAAAGGGCUCGUAGGUGGCCAACUAAGUCAGACGUGAAAUCCCUCGGCUUAACCGGGGAACUGCGUCUGAUACUGGAUGGCUCGAGUUUGGGAGAGGGAUGCGGAAUUCCAGGUGUAGCGGUGAAAUGCGUAGAUAUCUGGAGGAACACCGGUGGCGAAGGCGGCAUCCUGGACCAACACUGACACUGAGGAGCGAAAGCUAGGGGAGCAAACAGG